GACGAACGCUGGCGGCGUGCUUAACACAUGCAAGUCGAACGCUGAAGCUUGGUGCUUGCACUGGGUGGAUGAGUGGCGAACGGGUGAGUAAUACGUGAGUAACCUGCCCUUGACUCUGGGAUAAGCCUGGGAAACUGGGUCUAAUACUGGAUACGACAUGCCACUGCAUGGUGGUGUGUGGAAAGGGUUUUACUGGUUUUGGAUGGGCUCACGGCCUAUCAGCUUGUUGGUGGGGUAAUGGCCUACCAAGGCGACGACGGGUAGCCGGCCUGAGAGGGUGACCGGCCACACUGGGUCUGAGACACGGCCCAGACUCCUACGGGAGGCAGCAGUGGGGAAUAUUGCACAAUGGGCGGAAGCCUGAUGCAGCGACGCCGCGUGAGGGAUGACGGCCUUCGGGUUGUAAACCUCUUUCAGCACGGAAGAAGCGAGAGUGACGGUACGUGCAGAAGAAGCGCCGGCUAACUACGUG
This 472-nucleotide ribosomal RNA is filed under the name uncultured bacterium. Its description in RNAcentral is "partial 16S ribosomal RNA". It matches the Rfam family "Bacterial small subunit ribosomal RNA", at positions 28 to 507 of the family's 1533-position model. The record is from RNAcentral.